GACGAACGCUGGCGGCGUGCUUAACACAUGCAAGUCGAACGGAAAGGCCCUGCUUUUGUGGGGUGCUCGAGUGGCGAACGGGUGAGUAACACGUGAGUAACCUGCCCUUGACUUUGGGAUAACUUCAGGAAACUGGGGCUAAUACCGGAUAGGAGCUCCUGCUGCAUGGUGGGGGUUGGAAAGUUUCGGCGGUUGGGGAUGGACUCGCGGCUUAUCAGCUUGUUUGUGGGGUAGUGGCUUACCAAGGCUUUGACGGGUAGCCGGCCUGAGAGGGUGACCGGCCACAUGGGGACUGAGGUAGGGACCAGACGGCUACGGGAGGCAGCAGUGGAGAAUAUUGCAGAAUGGGCGGAAGCCUGAUGCAGCAGCGCCGCGUGCGGGAUGACGGCCUUCGGGUUGUAAACAGCUUUCGCCUGUGACGAAGAGAGAGUGACGGUAAUGGGUAAAGAAGCACCGGCUAACUACGUG
Molecule: ribosomal RNA, 468 nt
Filed under: uncultured bacterium
Lineage: Bacteria
Description: partial 16S ribosomal RNA
Rfam family: Bacterial small subunit ribosomal RNA
Source: RNAcentral